AUUUUGCCCAAUGGACGAAAGUCUGAGGCAGCAACUCCGCGUGAGGGACGAAGGCCUUCGGGUCGUAAACCUCUUUUCUCAGGGAAGAUCCAAGACGGUACCUGAGGAAUAAGCCACGGCUAACUACGUGCCAGCAGCCGCGGUAAUACGUAGGUGGCGAGCGUUGUCCGGAAUUACUGGGCGUAAAGAGCGCGCAGGCGGCUGGUCAAGUCCGAUGUGAAAGCUUCCGGCUUAACUGGGAAAUUGCAUCGGAAACUGAUUGGCUUGAAGGUGGGAGAGGGUAGUGGAAUUCCCGGUGUAGUGGUGAAAUGCGUAGAUAUCGGGAGGAACACCAGUGGCGAAGGCGACUACCUGGCCCACUCUUGACGCUGAGGCGCGAAAGCUAGGGGAGCGAACGGG
RNAcentral lists this ribosomal RNA (399 nucleotides) under uncultured bacterium. RNAcentral's name for it is "bacterial SSU rRNA". It matches the Rfam family "Bacterial small subunit ribosomal RNA", at positions 361 to 776 of the family's 1533-position model. The record is from RNAcentral.